Molecule: ribosomal RNA, 719 nt
Filed under: uncultured bacterium
Lineage: Bacteria
Description: bacterial SSU rRNA
Rfam family: Bacterial small subunit ribosomal RNA (bases 222-719)
Source: RNAcentral
GUAGUUUGACGGUAUCGCCUUAGCAAGCACCGGCUAACUCUGUGCCAGCAGCCGCGGUAAGACAGAGGGUGCAAACGUUGCUCGGAAUCACUGGGCGUAAAGGGCGCGUAGGCGGACAAGUAAGUCGGGCGUGAAAUCCCUAGGCUCAACCUAGGAACUGCACUCGAAACUGCAUGUCUUGAGUACCGGAGAGGAAAGCGGAAUACCUGGUGUAGAGGUGAAAUUCGUAGAUAUCAGGUGGAACACCAGUGGCGAAGGCGGCUUUCUGGACGGUACACAUGCAAGUCGAACGUGAAAGUCCGCAAGGAUGAGUAAAGUGGCGUACGGGUGAGUAACACGUAGGUAAUCUACCGAAGAGUCUGGAAUAACCUGCCGAAAGGCGGGCUAAUACUGGAUAGAGCGACGGGAUCCGUAAUUGGGUCUUUCGGGAAAGGGAGGAAGCAAUUCCCCUUGCUCUUCGAUGAGCCUGCGUCUCAUUAGCUAGUUGGCGGGGUAAUGGCCCACCAAGGCUUUGAUGAGUAGCUGGUCUGAGAGGAUGAUCAGCCACACUGGAAUGAAACACGGUCCAGACUCCUACGGGAGGCAGCAGUGGGGAAUCUUGCGCAAUGGACGAANGUCUGACGCAGCCACGCCGNGUGAGUGAAGAAGGUCUUCGGGUUGUAAAGCUCUGUCUGGCGGGACGAACAUCCAUGAGGUGAAUAACCUCGUGGACUGACGGU